This 450-nucleotide unclassified non-coding RNA is filed under the name Hevea brasiliensis (rubber tree). The record is from RNAcentral. Lineage: Eukaryota; Viridiplantae; Streptophyta; Magnoliopsida; Malpighiales; Euphorbiaceae.
UUCCUGGCGGUACUCCAAUGAUUCCAAACUUGGUGAAAGUAAUCACAGAGGUCGUAUCCAAUGGAAGCAAACCCAUCACAGUUGAUCAGCAGUUGAUUGAUGGCCCCAAUCCGAACUCUAAGGGGAAGUAUCUUAUUCCUAUCAUCCUUGCUUUCCAGUACUUUUUCGUGGUGAAACGGAUCCAAGGAGCGAUAAAGCGUGACAUUGCUAGUGAAAACAAGCCUCUUUGGGAGCUGCGUGAUCUAGGCUUGGCAAACCGCAAAUUCUGACAAGAUCCUCUUAGUUAUGGCCUCGGGAAACUGCAAAUUCUGACAAGAUCCUUAGUUAUGGCCGCUAAAUCAAUUGGUUUAUUUUAUGUCAGUUUUGUUGGCCGCAUUAGAAACUUGUUAAUGAGUGACCAAAUCGUCUUGUGGUAGGUUGAGAAUGAGUGUGAUACUACGUCGAAUGAGG